ACGAACGCUGGCGGCGUGCCUAAUACAUGCAAGUUGAGCGAUGAAGAUUGGUGCUUGCACCAAUUUGAAGAGCAGCGAACGGGUGAGUAACGCGUGGGGAAUCUGCCUUUGAGCGGGGGACAACAUUUGGAAACGAAUGCUAAUACCGCAUAACAACUUUAAACAUAAGUUUUAAGUUUGAAAGAUGCAAUUGCAUCACUCAAAGAUGAUCCCGCGUUGUAUUAGCUAGUUGGUGAGGUAAAGGCUCACCAAGGCGAUGAUACAUAGCCGACCUGAGAGGGUGAUCGGCCACAUUGGGACUGAGACACGGCCCAAACUCCUACGGGAGGCAGCAGUAGGGAAUCUUCGGCAAUGGACGAAAGUCUGACCGAGCAACGCCGCGUGAGUGAAGAAGGUGUUCGGAUCGUAAAACUCUGUUGGUAGAGAAGAACGUUGGUGAGAGUGGAAAGCUCAUCAAGUGACGGUAACUACCCAGAAAGGGACGGCUAACUACGUGC
This 497-nucleotide ribosomal RNA is filed under the name uncultured bacterium. Its description in RNAcentral is "partial 16S ribosomal RNA". It matches the Rfam family "Bacterial small subunit ribosomal RNA", at positions 29 to 508 of the family's 1533-position model. The record is from RNAcentral.